RNAcentral lists this long non-coding RNA (2913 nucleotides) under Homo sapiens (human). Its description in RNAcentral is "HSALNT0408827". Lineage: Eukaryota; Metazoa; Chordata; Mammalia; Primates; Hominidae. The record is from RNAcentral.
CUCAAGGAAAGAGAGGGAGUGCCAAGCUGUUACUGUUUACCCUCUGGCCCAGAUCUUUCUUCAGAAGAAACCUGAGUGGUCUCACAGGGGUUUGGAGUAAGAUUCAUACCUGCUUCACCAGUGAUUUUCAAAGGAGGCAAAUCCUAUUUGAAGCUAAAGUCACAUAAAGAGAUUUGGAAUGAGGAAACAAAUUAUAGCAGCCUGCAAGUUGUAGAAUGAAGAAAUGCAAAUGUAAAGUACUGAACUUUGUCAUGGAUAGAUUUACCAAAGAGAAUUACUCUGCAUAACAUGAAUAAUGGAGUUCAGAAGGAAGCCCAUAUCCCAGGUACAGGGAAAACUCAGAGACUUCCUCGGUUGUGCUGUUUUACUGAGGUUGGGUGGAGUCAACACAUCAUGGAUAAAGAAGUCCCUAAAGGCAGUCCCAGGGAGCCCGCACUGAACAUCAAGAAGUCAGACAAAUCCUUCAAACGCAAGAAGCCCACCGAAAAUGUGCUGAUCUUUUUAAUCAACAGACAACUGGGCAGGCACAGAAGUGACAUCGACCUGUCAAGAUGGGUGUGGAUGCUGUCAUAAAGCAACUCUAGGGUGGACAUGGCCUUGGACAAAAAGUCAUGUGGCUUACGUGCUGAAGCCUGCCCAUAUUUUUGAGAAAUUAAAUAUAAUUAGAACAAUAAACUCCUCCCAUGUUUGAGUCAUUAAAACAGAGUCUGUCAUUUCACUCCUUGAGGUUGGAUGUGUGUUUGCUGACAGGGUGUUCUUGGGUUACACUGGAAGGGGCUUCUGUUCAUCCUAACACGCUGUGCAGGGGUGCUUAGACCCAGGGGAGAGGGUGAGAUCAUGCUGCACACCAGAUCUCUCCCACCAUCAAUCUGAAAAACACUGCAAAGUCAAAGUGAUGUAGUACUUGGCAUUUAAGGACCAAAGACUCUUCUCCCUAGCCAUUUUGAAGAGACUGCCCUGGUGUUCCCCUCUAAAACCCAAUGCUUGUCCUAGUGAAAAGACAUUGUUUAAGAGCAGACCAACAGUUGGCCUGGGGGUUUGGGAUAUGUUUUAAUACUGCCAAUGUCAUAUCCACAGAGCCUUCCAGAGGCAACCGCUCUGCCCUUUGUCCCCAGGAAAGUAUAGAAUGCUCUGGUCACUUUUUUGUGUCAUGUCAAACAAACCUGCUCAGGCCACAGCCAAAGAUAAUUCAUUUGACUGAAAUGAAGCCACCUGGUAGGACAACAACACACAUGAGAUGGCUCCCAUUGAAGAAGCUCUGUCCCCAAGGAAUGUGCUGAGCAAGUCAGAUACUCAUUCUGAGAAACCUGAAAUGGGAACUAUGUGGGCAAUUGGUCACUGACAAGUGAGAGUUAAAGCUGAAGAGGGGACAGGGAGAGCAAAGAGGUCAGAGCCGUGGCAAACAUGGGCAAGCCUAAGUGAGGAGUAAGAUGAAAUUUACAUAAGGUGAACCAUUAAAGCCAUCACAGAUUCCAAGCAUUUCUCUUGUCCUUUCACGUGAGCUGCAAAAUAAGCCCCUGCAAGCAGUCCUCUGUCCCCUCUUCCCCUCCUCCCCAAUUCCCUGUGUUCUCACAACCUGUCCAGCAUUCCCCAAGGCCCCUUCCUGUGUCCCCUCCCCCGCCUACAUCUAAGGGGCUGUUACUCUCUCUUCCCUUAGCCAGGUCUCUUCCAGAUUUUUUAUGUGGUACGAAGUUAAACUGCUCUAUGUCCUUUUCACUGUCCUCUUUGUCCCUGUCACCUUCUCUGUCCCUGCACUGAUGCAGCAUCGCCAAAAAAGAGCCACCAGCCUCUCCUCAGAGGACGCAGCUGGCUGUAGGAUGGAGAGGAGGGGUUAGAGGCUGCCAGGUAGAGGGGCCUCCUGGGUGCACCGUUGGGAGGAACGCUGCCUGGACACUGCUAUGUCGGUGACUAUUUACCUGCAGCCCAGCAUCAAACAGUGGCUGUGAGGUGGAGAAUAGGUGGGGAAUGGAGGCUGAAAGGGCAGCAGGUAGGGCAAGAAGGAGCCAAACCCACAGGAGCAGAGGCCAAUAACAGCCAACCUCCUACACUCCAUGGCCACACAACAGAAGAGACAGAAUUUAGGAUACAGAGUUAUGUGUGGAUAAAUCUCACCAUCAUACUGAGUGAGAAAACAAGUAGCACAGAAUUAUGUACCAAAGAGAAACCCAACUGUGCCAAGCAGUACUUGGGUAUAUACAUAGACAGUAAAGUUAUCCAAACUAGAGCAGCAGCACAUUCAAGUGGAACUCUGUCCACUUUCCGACUUGACUAGUGCCCCAAAACAAUUGGUACCAACUAUUUCCCAUCUUGCAAGGAGUUGCCUAACAAUGGAGGCCUGGUAAAGAAGGUAAUCACAAUCAUGUGACCUCUGACCACUCACUCACCUACAGGUGUCUACUCACACUGGAAGUCUGGGUGGGUUGGAGACCAGAGAGGCAUGCUUCCCAGGGAUUGGAGGCUGUGCCGAGUUUAAACGAGGAAAACUUCCUACACUUCAAAUUCACUGGAAGGUUGGGGCUACUCAGUGUUCACCUAGAGAACUUGACUUUUGUUUCCAGAAGUGACACUCACAAGGAAGAAAUUCAGGAGGAAAGUGGCUGUAGGAGAGGGAGAGAAGAUUUGGCCAAAAUUCCUCUGAAGAGAUUUUUCUCAGGAGAUCUUAGUGGCGGCCAAAUGUAACCUUCUCGGGACGGGGAAGGGGGUGGGAAUCUGGAUGCAGCUGACUCACAGGAAUCAGAGGCUGACUGGAGACCAUGCACACAGUGUCAGGAGACACUCUCUUCUUCUACUCUUUCAUUUCUAGCUGCUGCCUCUCAUUGCUCAAAUCACUAACCAGACAGCCAGGAAGCCAAGGUGAUGUCUUCCAUGGUAUCAGCCUUCUGGAACACACAGCCCUGCAGAGAAGCAUAUAUC